This 274-nucleotide ribosomal RNA is filed under the name uncultured bacterium. RNAcentral describes it as "partial 16S ribosomal RNA". It matches the Rfam family "Bacterial small subunit ribosomal RNA", at positions 523 to 796 of the family's 1533-position model. The record is from RNAcentral.
AGACGAACCGGACAAACGUUAUUCGGAAUCAUUGGGCUUAAAGGGUGCGUAGGCGGUGCGGAAAGUUGGGUGUGAAAUCCCUCGGCUCAACCGAGGAACUGCGCUCAAAACUUCCGUGCUAGAGUGAGACAGAGGUGAGCGGAACUGAUGGUGGAGCGGUGAAAUGCGUUGAUAUCAUCAGGAACACCGGUGGCGAAGGCGGCUCACUGGGUCUCUUCUGACGCUGAGGCACGAAAGCUAAGGUAGCGAACAGGAUUAGAAACCCGAGUAGUCC